CCCCCACACCCCUCCCCACGCCUGUCCAUGGGAAGCACAGGAAGAGGACAACGAGGCCCUACCUAGAGGGAGCUGCAUUUGGCCUCGGUGGGGUAUGAGCUCUGGACCCAGAACAUAAAGACUCUUCCUCUUUCAGCCACCCCAUCCUGGGAGUGACAGGAGAACUGCCAGUCAAGGGAGGCAAAAAGGGACAGAGUGAGAGAGAAGCAAGAAGGCAGAAUGCAAAGGGAGAGGACUUAAAGUAAAAAGCAAGCCAAGCCACCUCAUAGUUGAUAUUUUGGAAG
This 284-nucleotide long non-coding RNA is filed under the name Rhinopithecus bieti (black snub-nosed monkey). RNAcentral's name for it is "lncRNA (ENSRBIG00000046732.1)". Lineage: Eukaryota; Metazoa; Chordata; Mammalia; Primates; Cercopithecidae. The record is from RNAcentral.